Pseudomonas sp. M30-35 is the source of this 86-nucleotide regulatory RNA element. It matches the Rfam family "gyrA RNA". NCBI's taxonomy places the organism in Bacteria, Pseudomonadati, Pseudomonadota, Gammaproteobacteria, Pseudomonadales, Pseudomonadaceae. The record is from Rfam.
UCGUGAGUCGUUGUCGACUUGAUGUUACAGCGACAGGCUUCGCCUCGUUCACAACGGAUGGAGCGGAGUUUCACCAGAAAAAGGAA